UCUGUUGCCUCUCUCUCAUUUCAUCUUCCCAAAGUUCAACCCUAGCUCACCUCUUUCUCUCCCCAGGGGUCGACGCUGCUGCUAUCCCCGCUCGUCGACCGCUCUCGCCACCGGCUCUCUCUCUCUUUCGCCCAAAAUUUAGUCCCAAGUUCAGACACCCAAAUCAAGGACCUUCGCCAUCGAUUCGCGCUAUUUCCCCGCCACCGUGUUACAUCCAUUGUCAGUCAGCACCACCGCCGCUGCCCCUCGACUCGCUGCUGGUUCGCAAGCGGUCAGGCUUGGACAGCGCGGUCAGCGCCGCCGCUGGUCUUCUAUUGACGGUGAGAUUUCCACUAUCGACUCUCCUCCGCAAGUGCCGAACAGCCCUCGCAGUUUGCUCCCUCCGUCGUCGCCCAGAUCGAACAACCCUGUCUUCGGGGCUCCGCCGUCAAUCGAUCUUCAUCGGGCAACUAUAAAUACUAAGCUAAGUCUUCCUUCCUAGCUUAUACUAGUUCUUGAGAUCUCACUGAAAUGAGUUCUAGUGUAUGGAGUUAUUUGGCAUGUUUUGUGAUGUUGCUGUAGUAAAACCUUUAAGUUCUUUCUUUAAGUGAUUUGCUAGGUUCAACAUUAGUUCCAUAAGCUAUGCUCUGUGCUUUGCUAUUUCUCUCAAUCCUAAGGCAUGUUCUACUGUGAUGCAAGGUGGUGUCGUGGGGAAAAAUACUUGGUUUGUUGUUAUGAGAGGUGUGGAUGAACUCUUUCCCUUGUUGCCUGAUUCUUGGCUUUCCAAAGAAUAGAAGUGUGAUGAUUUCUUUUGAUGUGGUGGGAGUGAGUGGAACCGAGGGAGAUAGAGUAUAUAUAUAUACAUAGUGUUUGUAACUGAAAGUUCUGUAAAGUAGAUCUUGGUGCAGAAUGAAAUCUCAAGUUUGUUAUCCUACAGCAGAUGUCCUUUUCUCAGUCCUUUGCAGCACCUUUAAUUGAUUCUGGUGGUGAUUUGCAGGUGCACAAGGUGGGGCAGAGGCUGUUGGAGCUGGGGUGCAGGGUUGCUGCAGCCGUGCUGCAGGUUUUCUUCCCUUUCUCUGGCUCGUGCAGGCUGCUGUACAUGGGGCUGGGGUGGUUGAAAAAGGAAAUGUCUGUUGAGCUGUUGUCUCCGCGACUGGCUCGCUGACUCGGGUCAUUGUGCUCGCUGCCCGGAGUUGCUGGUUGCACAGCCAUGGGAGGGGCCCAAAGUGCAAGUCAUACGGAAGACGAUCCUAUAAUUUAAUGUAUCAUGUUUUCGAACGUUUUUAGUUCGAGAUAAAAUCUUUGUAUUCUUUUUCGAAAACACGCAAGGAAAAGGGGCUUUAAAGAGCGGGUAUUACAGAAGGGGCAGAGACGUAAUUUUUCUUAUUUAAGGUGAGUUUUCUCUCCUUCCUUCCACCAUCUUCUCCAAUUCUCCCUUGCACACGACCCCAACUACAAAGUAUCACCAAAUUCACACUCCCACACUCUCAUUCUUCCAUUCCAUUCCUAAAUUCAAGCUUUCAUCGCCCAAUUCUCUCCAACUCAAGGUAUGAAUCCUACUCUUAAUUUCUGAGUUUAGUUUGAAUUCUUCCAUGGAUUUUGCUCUUUCUUGAUAAAUUGUUCGGUUGAAAAGCAUGUUUUAGUAUGGGGGAUGAGUGUGAUGAUGUUUCUACUUGUCUUUCAUGGUUGAAUUUUGCAUAGAGUGGUGAAUUGUUGGUUUUUUUUGGUGAAUUCCCUCUUGUUCUUAAUUGUUAUAUAUUGCAAUCAUGUUCAUAGAAUUGUGAGGCUAUUAUUACUUCCAUGAAUUGCAAUACAUGUGUAGUCAUAGAGAUUGUUAUUUUGUGUUGUUCAUGUUGAUACAUCUUUGCAUAGGGGAUGAAUUCACGUUGGGGGAUGGAUUCUAGUUGUUCUAAAUUGUUGAUUUUGUUUUACAUGAUCACAUGCUACAAUUUGGAAUGAUUUUUUUUAAUACAAACUUGCACAUCUUUGUUGAUUUUCGAUGUAUACUUAGUUGAGUGCAAGUUUGGGGAAACCCUUGUUUGUCUAUUGUUUGGUGCUCUUUUUAGAGUUUGAUUUUCUUUUGUAGGAAAAUGACAACAUGAGGCAAGCCCGAGAAUGCGAAGAGUUACGGAGUUAGCCUUCCCACGGAUGAAAAAAAGGCAAUGUGGAAUAGAGUCUCGGCACGAGACACGGUGCCCUCACGGUAACCCCAUGAGCUUCCCCUUGGUACUUUGGGGAUUCUAGACGACUUUUGGGCAUUGUGCAACGUCGGGGAGGGAAAUGGCCUCAUCCACAUGUUCCAAGGGAGAUGACCAUCGUAUAUGAGACGCACUCUCGAGUUCCUAAGCACACUCAAGGUGCACAAGAACCGCCGUUACCGCACCCCCGAGAGCAUAGACUUAUGCCUUGGCAACUGCAACCACUCUUUAUCCAUGGAGGACCUUUGUGAGGUGUUCCAAUUUUUCGACCCCAACCCCGAUGAGGAGAUUGAUUAUGAGUAUUCCGAUGUUUGGGGUGCGAUGACAAUGGAAGGAGAAGAGCAUGGCUCGGGUUAUGCCAAGUCCUCAUCCAUCCGCAACCCCGUCUUGAGAUACAUCCACCGAGCGAUGACCCAACUUAUGUUUGCAAGAAUUGAUGGUGGGAGUGGUCCCAAACCGAGAUCAACGUCAUGUGGUGCCUUCUUAACAAGAGGGGGAUCAACUUUGGGAUCCUCUUCACUCUCUACGUUGACCGCAUUUCAAAGAAGGACGGGAGUAUGAUAUGUUGCGGGGGAUUAAUCACAGCGCUUACCGAACACAUUGGCAUUUCAACCGCGGGGUUCGCCGAGGAUAUGGGGGAAAAGUUCAUCACUUACGAGGUUCUCUUUUCGGUAGAGUUCUUGAAGACCGAUUCUAGCGGUCAAGCAUUUUUUAUGCAAGUGGAUUGGGAUCACUUUCCCGUUCCCAUCCCAUACUUGACCAAGGUAGACACAUGGGAGAAUCAAGCUAAUUGGAAGCUCAACACUCCCUCCCACCGAAGAGCCAUUGAGGCAAACCCCAUUCAAUGGGAGUUUAGGUGGAGAAACAUUCCUUCCCACAUCCUCGCCUUCGACACCAUCGAAAACUAUCAAGAGAGGGCGGAGCAUUCACAAGCUCAAGGGAGUGGGGCGCUGCCACAACAAGAAGAAGAAGAAGAGGAGGAGGAAGUAGAUUGCCACCGCCGCCGCACUAAAGCCAACCGUCGUCGCGGAAGGCCUAACGCCAAUGAGGAGUUCCAAGUGAACACCUCCGCCCAAUUAGGAGAUAUGUUCUCCUACAUGCAAAACAUGUCCAACACUUGGGACAAUAGAUGAGCGGGGCAAAAAUAAGAGAACGCCUUCAACCGCUAAGGACGGGCGGCACAAGGUGAUUGGCGGACGGCAGAACAAGACUUUUGGGAGCGUCAACGGCUAGAAGAUGUUCAUCAACGUCAACAAAUCACCGAGCUCCAAAGGAUGGCCGCCGAGGCUCGUGAGGAGAGCCAAACCAUGAGUGGCGACAUCACCUAUCUCAUUGGCGCCUUUGACGACCUCAACGCUCGCUUCCCUUCUCCUCAAUAAUGGAGUCAAGCUCAUGACUUUAUAUGACCAUUUGUAUCAUAUUUGCUUUAGUUUUUGUUGUGACAUUUUUUUUGAAGUUUGAACAUCUUCUCUUUAUGUUUUUGAAGUUGUUUUUGGUUUAAGUUUGGUUUUCACGUUAUUGAAAUUUUUCACAGGUUCAGGUCCGCUGGCCAUUCACAGUGCUCCAGUCGCAAAUUUUUGAAUUUUUCCCUGUCCAACGUCAAUGCGGAAAUUUCAAGGUAUCUUUAUUGCUUUCUUAAUUUACUCACGUCCCUACCGACUCUACGAACUUAUUUUGCAUUUUGUUGUAAAUAAGUUUGGGGGAUGAAGUGGUGGACCGUGACCUUAAGUUUUUGUGUUUGUUUUUGUUUUUGUUUUUGUUUUUGUUUUUGUUUUUGAAAAAUUCCCGAAGGUGAAUCCAUGUCGUGAACUUAGCAUGAAAAACUUAGAAACACGCAUGAUUAUGAACACAUUAGACAGACUUGUCAAUGAUAUACAAAGUUCUUUUCAUCUUUGAUUAAGUAUGGCGUAAAGUUUUGAUUUGAUGGUUUGGUAAAAAGGUGCAUAACUAGUGAUGCUUGUUCGCCUUGAAUCAGGCUUAUACCUUGUGAGAUUUGAGUCUUAAAUUCUUUCUUGUGUGAUUUAUCUGCAUUCAUGUAUAUGUUUCUAUAACUUGCUCCUCGUCUGCCUAAGUUUACAUAGUGUUUACGUUGAUUAAGGAGGAUGUUAGACAAUCUUUUCAACCUAUUUUUUUUAUCCAAAAUUUUUUACCCUUUUCAAAAAACUCAUUAUCCCUUUGGAGAGCCUUUAAGUUUAUUCUUUAGAAGUCAAAUCAAUGUGGACAAUUCCUUGGGUUAGUAUAGUUAUUUUAUUUUAUCUUUUGUAAACGAAUUGGAGAAAUAAGAAGAAAUUAUGAAAAGUGAAAAGUAGUGUGCUUGAAUAUUAUAAAAGUGCAAGUUGUGAAAUAGAAAAAUUCAAAAGUGUGCUUAAUGUAUAAAGGAUGCCUACGAAAAGUGAGAAAAGAAAAAAGAAAAAGAAAUAAAAUGUUGUGUGAAAAAGAAAGAAAAAUAAAAGGUUUGGGAAAGUGAGUUGAAGGAGAAAUAUUAUCAAAAGUGUCUUGGGUUUAUAAGAAAAGUGGAGUUUAUUUUACUCUACUUGAGAUUUUUAUUUUAGCCACUUUUUAGCCAAAUAUUCCUCACCUACCAAAGAGCCUACAUUACAAUAAAAAAUAAAGACCUUUCGGACUUUUGAUGCUUAAUCACAUCUAGUAGAUGAGAGAUUAGACUUUGAGCAAGCCUAUGGUAAACUUUGCAUGAUGCAUGAUUUGAGUUCCUAUAUACAUUUUACCUUAAACACUUUGAGAGUGAGAUAACACUUCCCAUCUUUGGAAGUUUGCCACAUGUGAGUGCAUGAAUUCAAGGUGUUCUACGAGUUAGUAAUGAAAGUGCAAUAAUAAGCCUUGCUUGAUUUGAUUGCGUUAAUUUAUGUUUGAUCUAUCUUUUCCAUACUUUGAGGCAAUUAUGACGUCUAGUCCUUGUGCAUUCCGUGUGUCUAUUAUUGUAUCUUCUAUGUUGUUUUCGAGGACAAACAAAAAUGUAAGUUUGGGGGAGUUGAUACGCUCGGAUUUUGCACGGUUUUAAGGCCUUUAUUUGGUUCGUUUGUAAUGUCAAAAUCACAAUUCAUGUCUAUAUUUCGUAUGUUUUAUCAAUUUUGGUAUUUUGACGUGUUUUA
Salvia splendens (bonfire salvia) is the source of this 5287-nucleotide long non-coding RNA. RefSeq lists it as uncharacterized. The transcript has 2 exons. The record is from RefSeq and is a predicted model, not a curated record. NCBI's taxonomy places the organism in Eukaryota, Viridiplantae, Streptophyta, Magnoliopsida, Lamiales, Lamiaceae.